RNAcentral lists this unclassified non-coding RNA (316 nucleotides) under uncultured Funneliformis. Its description in RNAcentral is "sequence contains ITS2". The stretch from base 1 to 52 matches the Rfam family "5.8S ribosomal RNA", at positions 103 to 154 of the family's 154-position model. Lineage: Eukaryota; Fungi; Glomeromycota; Glomeromycetes; Glomerales; Glomeraceae. The record is from RNAcentral.
AACGCAAAUUGCACUCCCUGGUAUUCCGGGGAGUAUGCCUGUUUGAGGGUCGUUAGAAUAAAAAUCGAGGCGUCGCUCUUUUUUUUAAGGGUGAUCGCGUCGGAAUUGAGCCGUCUUUUAAAUGUUAAUUCAUGUCAAAGUGGCUUAAAAUUCAUCCAUCCGGUACGAUUAAAGCGUAUUUAAGAUCAAUUUUGUUCAAGAACGCGCGAUGACGUACCAUCUCAUGUAGUACGUUUGACCUGGGUCAUCAGGUUCAUUCGUAUACGAUACUCAAACUUUUGACCUCAAAUCAGGUAAGAAUACCCGCUGAACUUAA